GGCUUCGUCUUUCAUGCUAAAUUCAAUGUACAUAUUGGUAGGCUGAUACAGGGUGUUCUCCUUCUCAGGUGCCCAGGCAAUUGUAGCAGUUGAACUAAUGUGGAAUUCUAGAUAUAAGUACCAAAUGAAAAGUGUACAUAUAGUCUCCAAGUUCCGAAGGAGGAUGGUGGAUCUUGAAAAGCAACUAAUGUUGAGCCUUCUCAGAUAAGAUAGUGGCCUGAGAGGAGCCUUCUCUUCAUCACCAUGAUGUAUCUUUUAUGCAGUAUAUAACACGAUAGAAAGAAAUGUUGAAGGAGGAGAAUGACCCUGAGCAUGUCACUUCGGCUUCUGACCUUUUUGUUGAUGAUGCAUUUGGAACUGCACACUGAAUCCAUUCUUCAACUGAGGGUGUAACAAAAUUCAUGAGGCUAUCUGUAGCUGGAUUUCUUUUGCAGAAGGUAAGGGUUUAUUAUUCUUAUUUCUACUUUGUCAUCGACUUUUUAGUUAUUCUUAGUGUCUUCCUCUAAUCAUCUAUGUACUUCUAAUAGCCUGUAUCGUAACAUUUGGCUGUAAUGUUGCAGCAGCUGUAAGUUCUUUACUACAUUGAUUAAUUGCAAGUAUAUUUCUUCACCAGAGAAAAGUAGAACCAUUUUUGUACAACUUAAAUAACUUUAAAGCAUUUUUUAUGCAAUUUUUUUCUAUUGGGAUUGUUGCUACAUGACCAUUACAUAUUCCAAAGACACAUACCUAUAGAGGUAUCUGGAGAUUGUUGAAAAGAGAAGUUGAAGCUUCCGCAACCCAUUGAUGAGGUCUGAGCUGAAUGCGCCAAGUUUUGUAGGUUUAGGUUAUGUAUAUGAUCAAGUGAUAAAAGUUUCUUUGGUUUUAGAAACCGAAUAUGGAUAGAUUGUACUUCUGAUUGAAGAUGUAAUGACAAAUGGAUUUUGAUUUGCCAUUACAGGAACAAUAUAAUCAAAGAAACUUACUACAUUU
Molecule: long non-coding RNA, 969 nt
Organism: Argentina anserina (silverweed cinquefoil)
Lineage: Eukaryota; Viridiplantae; Streptophyta; Magnoliopsida; Rosales; Rosaceae
Exons: 3
Source: RefSeq, a predicted model, not a curated record